UCUAAUAUGGCAGAAUAGUGCAGUGGAUUUAAGCUCCACAAAUAAAGUUUAAUACUUUUUUUAGAA
This 66-nucleotide transfer RNA is filed under the name Tenodera angustipennis. Its description in RNAcentral is "tRNA-Leu". It matches the Rfam family "tRNA". Rfam says of the family: Transfer RNA (tRNA) molecules are approximately 80 nucleotides in length. Their secondary structure includes four short double-helical elements and three loops (D, anti-codon, and T loops). Lineage: Eukaryota; Metazoa; Arthropoda; Insecta; Mantodea; Mantidae. The record is from RNAcentral.